Molecule: ribosomal RNA, 484 nt
Filed under: uncultured bacterium
Lineage: Bacteria
Description: partial 16S ribosomal RNA
Rfam family: Bacterial small subunit ribosomal RNA
Source: RNAcentral
AUUGAACGCUGGCGGCAGGCCUAACACAUGCAAGUCGAGCGGAUGAAGGGAGCUUGCGCCUGGAUUCAGCGGCGGACGGGUGAGUAAUGCCUAGGAAUCUGCCUGGUAGGGGGGGAUAACGUCCGGAAACGGGCGCUAAUACCGCAUACGUCCUGAGGGAGAAAGUGGGGGAUCUUCGGACCUCACGCUAUCAGAUGAGCCUAGGUCGGAUUAGCUAGUUGGUGGGGUAAAGGCCUACCAAGGCGACGAUCCGUAACUGGUCUGAGAGGAUGAUCAGUCACACUGGAGCUGAGACACGGUCCAGACUCCUACGGGAGGCAGCAGUGGGGAAUAUUGGACAAUGGGCGGAAGCCUGAUCCAGCCAUGCCGCGUGUGUGAAGAAGGCCUUCGGAUUGUAAAGCACUUUAAGUUGGGAGGAAGGGCAGUAAGUUAAUACCUUGCUGUUUUGACGUUACCAACAGAAUAAGCACCGGCUAACUUCGUG